This 113-nucleotide ribosomal RNA is filed under the name Anolis carolinensis (green anole). Lineage: Eukaryota; Metazoa; Chordata; Lepidosauria; Squamata; Anolidae. The record is from RNAcentral.
AAGAAUAAUCAUACCCUAAAUGCACCAGAUCCCAGCUGAUCUUUGAAGCUAAAUAAGGUACUUGGUUAGUACUUAGAUGGGAGGCCACCAAGGGAUACCAGGUGCUGUCAGCU